RNAcentral lists this ribosomal RNA (510 nucleotides) under Neonectria sp. nwa_besc_319bb1. Its description in RNAcentral is "eukaryotic LSU rRNA". The stretch from base 141 to 294 matches the Rfam family "5.8S ribosomal RNA". Lineage: Eukaryota; Fungi; Ascomycota; Sordariomycetes; Hypocreales; Nectriaceae. The record is from RNAcentral.
AUUACCGAGUUUUCAACUCCCAAACCCCUGUGAACAUACCAUACUGUUGCCUCGGCGGUGCCUGUUCCGACAGCCCGCCAGAGGACCCCAAACCCAAAUUUCUUUGAGACGUAUUCUGAGUAACCGAUUAAAUAAAUCAAAACUUUCAACAACGGAUCUCUUGGUUCUGGCAUCGAUGAAGAACGCAGCGAAAUGCGAUAAGUAAUGUGAAUUGCAGAAUUCAGUGAAUCAUCGAAUCUUUGAACGCACAUUGCGCCCGCUAGUAUUCUGGCGGGCAUGCCUGUUCGAGCGUCAUUUCAACCCUCAAGCCCCCGGGCUUGGUGUUGGGGAUCGGCGAGCCUCUGCGCCCGCCGUCCCCUAAAUUUAGUGGCGGUCACGUUGUAACUUCCUCUGCGUAGUAGCACACUUAGCACUGGGAAUCAGCGAGGCCACGCCGUAAAACACCCAACUUUAGAAUGUUUGACCUCGAAUCAGGUAGGACUACCCGCUGAACUUAAGCAUAUCAAUAAG